Syngnathoides biaculeatus (alligator pipefish) is the source of this 871-nucleotide long non-coding RNA. RefSeq lists it as uncharacterized. The record is from RefSeq and is a predicted model, not a curated record. The transcript is spliced from 3 exons. NCBI's taxonomy places the organism in Eukaryota, Metazoa, Chordata, Actinopteri, Syngnathiformes, Syngnathidae.
CCGCCGCUGCGCCGGACUGCCUGCUCGAUCCCCUACCUCUGCAUAUAAUAAACGUGUCUCUCCUUGAACUACCUUGCAUCUUCCGAGUCCUGCAUUUGGGUCCUACUCUCGUUCCGAUGGGACGCGACAAAAGGUCUCGUGUGCUCGUUCAGUUAUCGUGGCCACCUGUUGUCGUCAACCUUCUACCUUGUGUCGACCAAUCAGCUCCCUGCAGUCAUUCAUUUCUUUUCCAAGUGUUCCUUGUUGUCUCUUCAAUUUGUUUGCAUUUAGUUCCCUGGUUUCUUUCAGGUCUUGUCGCUUCCUUGUCAAAUGUCAAAGUAGUUUCACUCAGGGCUUAGGUGGCAGUGAUUGAACUGAUGCUGUUGCUGUAUGGAUUCUCCACAAACAUGCAUUGGCAAGUUCCGAGGUGGCAAACUACUUUGGAGGCAUUGCUGUGGAUGGUUCUUGUAUCAACCGACCAGGCCAGUUCCUGAGGAAGAAUCACUUUCUUAGAGAUGUUUACCUGCAGCGCUUUAUUUAAUUAAACAGAGUCUUAUGUUAUCUUAACUAACAUUGUACACGGCCAUGCUAUGUGAUAAAUGCUGCCCACUUCUCUUCCAUUUCAGCCUGCUCAUCUGGGAAGGGGGACUUCACUCUCUGUGGUCCCUUCUUAUUGCUUCUUCACUUCAUUUUUUUUUUUUUUUAACCAAAAUAGCAGAAAAUGAAUGGAUGGAUGUGUUUUUGAGUUUGUCCUUACCGGCUGGGGGUUUAGACCAUGGAAUAAUGCCGAUUUUUGUCAAAUGUUCGCCUCUUUAGCCCUUUCAGAUGUUUUUUUUUUUAAUUUCUAUUUGGCAAUCAAGAAUGAUACAAAUAAACCUGACUUGUGAGUGAG